CCCAGACUCCUACGGGAGGCAGCAGUGGGGAAUAUUGCACAAUGGGGGAAACCCUGAUGCAGCGACGCCGCGUGAGUGAAGAAGUAUUUCGGUAUGUAAAGCCCUAUCAGCAGGGAAGAAAAACCGACCAUAGGGUCGCUAGACGGUACCUGAUUAAGAAGCCCCGGCUAACUACGUGCCAGCAGCCGCGGUAAUACGUAGGGGGCAAGCGUUAUCCGGAUUUACUGGGUGUAAAGGGAGCGUAGACGGCAGCGCAAGUCUGAAGUGAAAUGCCGGGGCUUAACCCCGGAACUGCUUUGGAAACUGAGCAGCUAGAGUGCAGGAGAGGUAAGUGGAAUUCCUAGUGUAGCGGUGAAAUGCGUAGAUAUUAGGAGGAACACCAGUGGCGAAGGCGGCUUACUGGACUGUACCUGACGCUGAGGCGCGAAAGCGUGGGUAGCGAACGGGAUUAGAUACCCUAGUA
RNAcentral lists this ribosomal RNA (463 nucleotides) under uncultured bacterium. RNAcentral describes it as "partial 16S ribosomal RNA". It matches the Rfam family "Bacterial small subunit ribosomal RNA", at positions 330 to 792 of the family's 1533-position model. The record is from RNAcentral.